This 509-nucleotide ribosomal RNA is filed under the name uncultured bacterium. Its description in RNAcentral is "bacterial LSU rRNA". It matches the Rfam family "Bacterial large subunit ribosomal RNA", at positions 667 to 1170 of the family's 2925-position model. The record is from RNAcentral.
CGCAGCGAAAGCGAGUCUGAAUAGGGCGCUAAGUUCGACGUAUGACGACCCGAAACCAGGUGAUCUAUCCAUGAGCAGGAUGAAGGUUGGGUAACACCAACUGGAGGUCCGAACCGGUGACUGUUGAAAAAGCCUCGGAUGACUUGUGGAUAGGGGUGAAAGGCCAAUCAAACCUGGACAUAGCUGGUUCUCCGCGAAAUCUAUUUAGGUAGAGCGUCCGACGAAUACCCUGGGGGGUAGAGCACUGGAUGGAUGCGGGCUGCGCGAGCGGUACCAAUUCUAACCAAACUCCGAAUACCCAGGAGUACUAUCGGGCAGACACACGGCGGGUGCUAACGUCCGUCGUGAAAAGGGAAACAACCCUAACCAUCAUCUAAGGCUACCCUAAAAUUGGCUAAGUGGGAAACGAGUAGGGAAGGACUAAAACAGUCAGGAUGUUGGCUUAGAAGCAGCCAUCAAUUUAAAAGAAAGCGUAAUAGCUCACUGAUCGAGUCGUCCUGCGCGGAAGA